RNAcentral lists this ribosomal RNA (468 nucleotides) under uncultured bacterium. RNAcentral's name for it is "partial 16S ribosomal RNA". It matches the Rfam family "Bacterial small subunit ribosomal RNA", at positions 28 to 507 of the family's 1533-position model. The record is from RNAcentral.
GACGAACGCUGGCGGCGUGCUUAACACAUGCAAGUCGAACGGAAAGGCCCUGCUUUUGUGGGGUGCUCGAGUGGCGAACGGGUGAGUAACACGUGAGUAACCUGCCCUUGACUUUGGGAUAACUUCAGGAAACUGGGGCUAAUACCGGAUAGGAGCUCCUGCUGCAUGGUGGGGGUUGGAAAGUUUCGGCGGUUGGGGAUGGACUCGCGGCUUAUCAGCUUGUUGGUGGGGUAGUGGCUGACCAAGGCUUUGACGGGUAGCCGGCCUGAGAGGGUGACCGGCCACAUUGGGACUGAGAUACGGACCAGACUCCUACGGGAGGCAGCAGUGGGGAAUAUUGCACAAUGGGCGGAAGCCUGAUGCAGCAACGCCGCGUGCGGGAUGACGGCCUUCGGGUUGUAAACCGCUGUCGCCUGUGACGAAGCGUGAGUGACGGUAAUGGGUAAAGAAGCACCGGCUAACUACGUG